UAAUACGUAGGUGGCAAGCGUUGUCCGGAAUUAUUGGGCGUAAAGGGAGCGCAGGUGGGAAUGUAAGUCAGUCUUAAAAGUGCGGGGCUCAACCCCGUGAGGGGAUUGAAACUACAUUUCUUGAGUGCAGGAGAGGAAAGUGGAAUUCCUAGUGUAGCGGUGAAAUGCGUAGAGAUUAGGAGGAACACCAGUGGCGAAGGCGACUUUCUGGACUGUAACUGACACUGAGGCUCGAAAGCCAGGGGAGCGAACGGGAUUAGAUACCCCGGUAGUCCUGGCCGUAAACGAUGGAUACUAGGUGUGGGAGGUAUCGACCCCUUCCGUGCCGGAGUUAACGCAAUAAGUAUCCCGCCUGGGGAGUACGGCCGCAAGGCUGAAACUUAAAGGAAUUGACGG
Molecule: ribosomal RNA, 396 nt
Filed under: bacterium enrichment culture
Lineage: Bacteria
Description: bacterial SSU rRNA
Rfam family: Bacterial small subunit ribosomal RNA
Source: RNAcentral